Molecule: ribosomal RNA, 253 nt
Filed under: uncultured bacterium
Lineage: Bacteria
Description: partial 16S ribosomal RNA
Rfam family: Bacterial small subunit ribosomal RNA
Source: RNAcentral
UACGGGGGGAGCAAGCGUUGUUCGGAUUUACUGGGCGUAAAGGGCGCGUAGGCGGCACUGUUAGUCAGGCGUGAAAUUCCUGGGCUCAACCUGGGGACUGCGCUUGAUACGGCAGAGCUAGAGGAUGGAAGAGGGUCGCGGAAUUCCCAGUGUAGAGGUGAAAUUCGUAGAUAUUGGGAAGAACACCGGUGGCGAAGGCGGCGACCUGGUCCAUUACUGACGCUGAGGCGCGACAGCGUGGGGAGCAAACAGG